ACUCGGAUAAGGCACUCUAUUUU
Molecule: microRNA, 23 nt
Filed under: Sarcophilus harrisii (Tasmanian devil)
Lineage: Eukaryota; Metazoa; Chordata; Mammalia; Dasyuromorphia; Dasyuridae
Also listed under: 1 other name
Description: Sha-Mir-7371-P28b_5p (mature (guide))
Source: RNAcentral